GACGAACGCUGGCGGCGUGCUUAACACAUGCAAGUCGAACGGAAAGGCCCUGCUUUUGUGGGGUGCUCGAGUGGCGAACGGGUGAGUAACACGUGAGUAACCUGCCCUUGACUUUGGGAUAACUUCAGGAAACUGGGGCUAAUACCGGAUAGGAGCUCCUGCUGCAUGGUGGGGGUUGGAAAGUUUCGGCGGUUGGGGAUGGACUCGCGGCUUAUCAGCUUGUUGGUGGGGUAGUGGCUUACCAAGGCUUUGACGGGUAGCCGGCCUGAGAGGGUGACCGGCCACAUUUGGACUGAGAUACGGCCCAGACUCCUACGGGAGGCAGCAGUGGGGAAUAUUGCACAAUGGGCGUAAGCCUGAUGCAGCAACGCCGCGUGCGGGAUGACGGCCUUCGGGUUGUAAACCGCUUUCGCCUGUGACGAAGCGUGAGUGACGGUAAUGGGUAAAGAAGCACCGGCUAACUACGUG
Molecule: ribosomal RNA, 468 nt
Filed under: uncultured bacterium
Lineage: Bacteria
Description: partial 16S ribosomal RNA
Rfam family: Bacterial small subunit ribosomal RNA
Source: RNAcentral